Neofelis nebulosa (Clouded leopard) is the source of this 363-nucleotide long non-coding RNA. RefSeq lists it as uncharacterized. The transcript has 3 exons. NCBI's taxonomy places the organism in Eukaryota, Metazoa, Chordata, Mammalia, Carnivora, Felidae. The record is from RefSeq and is a predicted model, not a curated record.
AAGAAGAAAGGAAGGAACAAAGGGAAUGAAGACAGACUAAGGCUUUUAGCCACUGCCAUUAGGCUGCCUGACCACCUCAUGGCCACCCAAACCAACCCCAAAGAAGAGCACAAGCCCUUCAGACUACCUCUCAGUUAUUGAAGACCUUGAAGACCAUACCCAGAAGUGUGAGGAUGUAGGUCUGAGGUCCCUGAUUGAGCUUUUGAAGCCUCUUGGCCUCAUUUUGCCUUCCUCUUUGAAAUGGAUACAAUCUGCCUUCACCUGGAUUCAUGGGGUACCUCAUUCAUGGGGUACCUCAACAGCUUUGCCAUUGUACCCAAACAUUGCAGACAAGAUCUUAAUUGCAUCCACCUUUCUCCGGGA